AUUGAACGCUGGCGGCAGGCCUAACACAUGCAAGUCGAGCGGAUGAAGGGAGCUUGCUCCUGGAUUCAGCGGCGGACGGGUGAGUAAUGCCUAGGAAUCUGCCUGGUAGUGGGGGAUAACGUCCGGAAACGGGCGCUAAUACCGCAUACGUCCUGAGGGAGAAAGUGGGGGAUCUUCGGACCUCACGCUAUCAGAUGAGCCUAGGUCGGAUUAGCUAGUUGGUGGGGUAAAGGCCUACCAAGGCGACGAUCCGUAACUGGUCUGAGAGGAUGAUCAGUCACACUGGAACUGAGACACGGUCCAGACUCCUACGGGAGGCAGCAGUGGGGAAUAUUGGACAAUGGGCGAAAGCCGGAUCCAGCCAUGCCGCGUGUGUGAAGAAGGUCUUCGGAUUGUAAAGCACUUUAAGUUGGGAGGAAGGGCAGUAAGUUAAUACCGUGCUGUUUUGACGUUACCAACAGAAUAAGCACCGGCUAACUUCGUG
RNAcentral lists this ribosomal RNA (484 nucleotides) under uncultured bacterium. RNAcentral's name for it is "partial 16S ribosomal RNA". It matches the Rfam family "Bacterial small subunit ribosomal RNA", at positions 30 to 507 of the family's 1533-position model. The record is from RNAcentral.